Molecule: long non-coding RNA, 908 nt
Organism: Neogale vison (American mink)
Lineage: Eukaryota; Metazoa; Chordata; Mammalia; Carnivora; Mustelidae
Source: Ensembl
CGCGCCCGCUUGCUCGCUCGCGUGCCUCCCUCCUCGGGCCUCGGCGGCCGCCCAGCCCUCACCCUCCUCAGGCCUCCGGGGCGGGACCAGACAGCCGCGGACUACAGCCUGGCCCCUCCCGGGGCGCCGGAGGACACCGGGCGCUGCGCUCCCCCGCCCGGGCACUGGCGCCUCGGGGAUGCGUGACACCCCACAUGCGUUUCGGGGUUUUAUGGGUCCCUGUUCAGAAGCGGCUCACGAGGUGAGGCGAGGCUACGCCGCGUGCCCCGACCUAAGGAGCCGUGACUUUGCAACCGCCCGAACUUUGCUAACCGGGAAGGGCCGCUGACUCCUCCCCGGCGGGCUGACGCCUCCCCCGCCCGCCGCCCUCCCUCUCUUUGACAAAAGACACUUCCAUCUAAAAGGACUCAAACGCUCCGUUGGGGGCUCUUCUUUUCAGUGCAAAACCUGCGUAAACUCCCACAGGGAUUUUUGCGACACGCCUUCGUGGGGUGCCUCGCUCGUGAGGGUGUGCGCGGCGCGGCCCUCGGGGUGCAGGCUCGGCCGGCAGGUGCCCGCGCCGCGCUCGCCGCCCCGCGCGGGCGCGCACCCAGGGCCCCCGGCGCCCGGCCACGCCUUGCGAUGCCUCUGCGGGCGGAGGAGCGACGAGCACCUGCGGUGGAAAAGUUCCCGAUCGUCACCCACAGAAGGACCCAGAAGACCAGGGAGAAGGUGUUCUAAGAAUCUUGGUGUCAAGCUGUCUUCGAUCUGAAUUGCUGGAAGUACACAAGGUACCAAAAAUGAAAAUGUCAGAAUUAUUUGUCAUUAAACAGAGUGAAUCAAUAAUACUGCAUGCUUAGACGGCAACUUUGGAGAACUCACAUCAAAACCAUUAUCUGAUGAUAGGGAGUAUUGUAAAUCAAUUGAGC